AAUAGAUACCCGGGUAGUCCAUGCCGUAAACGUUGGGCACUAGGUGUGGGGCUCAUUCCACGAGUUCCGUGCCGCAGCAAACGCAUUAAGUGCCCCGCCUGGGGAGUACGGCCGCAAGGCUAAAACUCAAAGGAAUUGACGGGGGCCCGCACAAGCGGCGGAGCAUGCGGAUUAAUUCGAUGCAACGCGAAGAACCUUACCAAGGCUUGACAUGCACGGGAAGCCACCAGAGAUGGUGGUCUCUUUGGACACUCGUGCACAGGUGGUGCAUGGUUGUCGUCAGCUCGUGUCGUGAGAUGUUGGGUUAAGUCCCGCAACGAGCGCAACCCUGUCCCAUGUUGCCAGCGGGUUAUGCCGGGGACUCAUGGGAGACUGCCGGGGUCAACUCGGAGGAAGGUGGGGAUGACGUCAAAUCAUCAUGCCCCUUAUGUCUUGGGCUUCACGCAUGCUACAAUGGCCGGUACAAGGGCUGCGAUACCGUAAGUGAGCGAAUCCCAAAAGCCGGUCUCAGUUCGGAUUGGGU
Molecule: ribosomal RNA, 523 nt
Filed under: uncultured bacterium
Lineage: Bacteria
Description: bacterial SSU rRNA
Rfam family: Bacterial small subunit ribosomal RNA
Source: RNAcentral